Molecule: ribosomal RNA, 467 nt
Filed under: uncultured bacterium
Lineage: Bacteria
Description: partial 16S ribosomal RNA
Rfam family: Bacterial small subunit ribosomal RNA
Source: RNAcentral
GACGAACGCUGGCGGCGUGCUUAACACAUGCAAGUCGAACGGAAAGGUCCUGCUUUUGUGGGGUGCUCGAGUGGCGAACGGGUGAGUAACACGUGAGUAACCUGCCCUUGACUUUGGGAUAACUUAAGGAAACUGGGGCUAAUACCGCAUAGGAGUUAUUGCUGCAUGGUGGGGGUUGGAAAGUUUCGGCGGUUGGGGAUGGAUUCGCGGCUUAUCAGCUUGUUGGUGGGGUAGUGGCUUACAAGGCUUUGCCGGGUAGCCGGCCUGAGAGGGCAACCGGCCACAUUGGGACUGAGAUACGGCACAGACUCCUACGGUAGGCAGCGGAGGAGUAGAGAACACAAGGGGCUGAAGCCUGGUGCAACAACGCCACGUGGGGGAUGACGGCCUUCGGGUAGUAUACCACUUUCGCCUUUGACGAGGCGAGAGUGACGGUAACGGGUAAAGAAGCACCGGCUAACUACGUG